AGCAUUCCAGUUUGCUUGCAAACUGGAGAUGGCGACCGGCGCACGGGUGAGUAACACGUAUCCAACCUGCCGAUAGCUCGGGGAUAGCCUUUCGAAAGAAAGAUUAAUACCCGAUGGCAUAAUAGAACCGCAUGGUUUGAUUAUUAAAGAAUUUCGGUUAUCGAUGGGGAUGCGUUCCAUUAGGCAGUUGGUGGGGUAACGGCCCACCAAACCUUCGAUGGAUAGGGGUUCUGAGAGGAAGGUCCCCCACAUUGGAACUGAGACACGGUCCAAACUCCUACGGGAGGCAGCAGUGAGGAAUAUUGGUCAAUGGACGAGAGUCUGAACCAGCCAAGUAGCGUGAAGGAUGACUGCCCUAUGGGUUGUAAACUUCUUUUAUAUGGGAAUAAAGUGGUCCACGUGUGGAUUUUUGUAUGUACCAUAUGAAUAAGGAUCGGCUAACUCCGUGCCAGCAGCCGCGGCAAUACGGAGGAUCCGAGCGUUAUCCGGAUUUAUUGGGUUUAAAGGGAGCGUAGGUGGACAGUUAAGUCAGUUGUGAAAGUUUGCGGCUCAACCGUAAAAUUGCAGUUGAUACUGGCUGUCUUGAGUACAGUAGAGGUGGGCGGAAUUCGUGGUGUAGCGGUGAAAUGCUUAGAUAUCACGAAGAACUCCGAUUGCGAAGGCAGCUCACUGGACUGCAACU
This 682-nucleotide ribosomal RNA is filed under the name uncultured Bacteroidales bacterium. RNAcentral's name for it is "bacterial SSU rRNA". It matches the Rfam family "Bacterial small subunit ribosomal RNA", at positions 65 to 741 of the family's 1533-position model. Lineage: Bacteria; Pseudomonadati; Bacteroidota; Bacteroidia; Bacteroidales. The record is from RNAcentral.